AUUGAACGCUGGCGGCAUGCUUUACACAUGCAAGUCGAACGGCAGCGCGGGGCAACCUGGCGGCGAGUGGCGAACGGGUGAGUAAUAUAUCGGAACGUACCCAGAAGUGGGGGAUAACGUAGCGAAAGUUACGCUAAUACCGCAUACGAUCUACGGAUGAAAGUGGGGGACCUUCGGGCCUCAUGCUUUUGGAGCGGCCG
Molecule: ribosomal RNA, 200 nt
Filed under: uncultured bacterium
Lineage: Bacteria
Description: partial 16S ribosomal RNA
Rfam family: Bacterial small subunit ribosomal RNA
Source: RNAcentral